CCCUUAGAUGUUCUGGGCUGCACCCGUGCUACACUGGUAGGUUCAGCGAGCUUCAUGCCCUGAUCUGAAAGGAAUGGGAAAUCUUUUCAAAACCUGCCGUGCUUGGGAUAGAUGUUUGCAAUUAUUCAUCUUCAACGAGGAUUGCCUUGUAAGCGCACGUCAUCAGCGUGCAUUGAAUACGACCCUGUAUUCUGUACACACCGCCCGUCGCUCCUACCGAUUGAAGUUUUCGGUGAGUUGACAGGAGGAUUUUUUUGAAACUGGUUCGCCAGUGGAUUUUAGAUCCAAAUGCCAACGAAUCGAUGGCUUUAGAGGAAGGAGAAGUCGUAACA
Molecule: ribosomal RNA, 332 nt
Filed under: uncultured eukaryote
Lineage: Eukaryota
Description: partial 18S ribosomal RNA
Rfam family: Eukaryotic small subunit ribosomal RNA
Source: RNAcentral